This 314-nucleotide ribosomal RNA is filed under the name uncultured bacterium. RNAcentral's name for it is "partial 16S ribosomal RNA". It matches the Rfam family "Bacterial small subunit ribosomal RNA", at positions 495 to 807 of the family's 1533-position model. The record is from RNAcentral.
GUAUAAGAGACAGCAGUAGCCGCGGUAAUACAGAGGGUGCGAGCGUUAAUCGGAUUUACUGGGCGUAAAGCGUGCGUAGGCGGCUUCUUAAGUCGGAUGUGAAAUCCCUGAGCUUAACUUAGGAAUUGCAUUCGAUACUGGGAAGCUAGAGUAUGGGAGAGGAUGGUAGAAUUCCAGGUGUAGCGGUGAAAUGCGUAGAGAUCUGGAGGAAUACCGAUGGCGAAGGCAGCCAUCUGGCCUAAUACUGACGCUGAGGUACGAAAGCAUGGGGAGCAAACAGGAUUAGAUACCCCGGUAGUCCCUGUCUCUUAUAC